RNAcentral lists this unclassified non-coding RNA (215 nucleotides) under Hevea brasiliensis (rubber tree). The record is from RNAcentral. Lineage: Eukaryota; Viridiplantae; Streptophyta; Magnoliopsida; Malpighiales; Euphorbiaceae.
AUAUUCCAGUUGAAAAAUUCGCUUAUUGCCAGUAUGAUUUGGUGAAAGUACUUUUGCAUUUUAUUUCAUUGCUGUGUGGAAUAUGUAACUGCUUUCAAACGGGCCCUGCAUAAAAAAGAUGAUGAGACAAAUUCCCUUCUUGCAUCAUGCCGUGAUGAAUGGAAGUGACCUGCAUAGUGUGAGGAUUGUUCAAGCAUUUCUUUUGUGAUUUUUUU